UGGUUUCCAUAGUUGAAGUACAACGGUGGCUUUUCGAGUCACAGGUUUUGGAUAAAGGCCAAGUGGAAA
RNAcentral lists this transfer RNA (69 nucleotides) under Jynx ruficollis (rufous-necked wryneck). RNAcentral describes it as "tRNA-Glu". The record is from RNAcentral. Lineage: Eukaryota; Metazoa; Chordata; Aves; Piciformes; Picidae.